GCUUCUCCAUCAGCAGACGGAGUCCGAGAGAGAGAGAGAGAGAGAGUACAGUAGAUCAUGCUGUUUCUGCAUCAGCAGCCGGAGUCUGAGAGAGAGAGAGAGAGAGAGAGAGUACAGUAGAUCAUGCUGUUUCUGCAUCAGCAGCCGGAGUCUGAGAGAGAGAGAGAGAGAGAGAGAGAGAGAGAGUACAGUAGGUCAUGCUGUUUCUCCAUCAGCAGCCGGAGUCUGAGAGAGAGAGAGAGAGAGUACAGUAGGUCAUGCUGUUUCUCCAUCAGCAGCCGGAGUCUGAGAGAGAGAGAGAGAGAGAGAGAGAGAGUACAGUAGAUCAUGCUGUUUCUCCAUCAGCAGCCGGAGUCUGAGAGAGAGAGAGAGAGAGAGAGAGAGAGAGAGAGUACAGUAGAUCAUGCUGUUUCUCCAUCAGCAGCCGGAGUCUGAGAGAGAGAGAGAGAGAGAGAGAGAGAGAGAGAGAGAGAUUACAGUAGGUCAUGCUGUUUCUCCAUCAGCAGCCGGAGUCUGAGAGAGAGAGAGAGAGAGAGAGAGAGAGAGAGAGUACAGUAGGUCAUGCUGUUUCUCCAUCAGCAGCCAGAGUCUGAGAGAGAGAGAGAGAGAGAGAGAGAGAGAGUACAGUAGGUCAUGCUGUUUCUCCAUCAGCAGCCGGAGUCUGAGAGAGAGAGAGAGAGAGAGAGAGAGAGUACAGUAGAUCAUGCUGUUUCUCCAUCAGCAGCCGGAGUCUGAGAGAGAGAGAGAGAGAGAGAGAGAGUACAGUAGGUCAUGCUGUUUCUCCAUCAGCAGCCGGAGUCUGAGAGAGAGAGAGAGAGAGAGAGAGAGAGUACAGUAGAUCAUGCUGUUUCUGCAUCAGCAGCCGGAGUCUGAGCGAGAGAGAGAGAGAGAGAGAGUACAGUAGGUCAUGCUGUUUCUCCAUCAGCAGCCGGAGUCUGAGAGAGAGAGAGAGAGAGAGAGAGAGAGAGAGAGUACAGUAGAUCAUGCUGUUUCUCCAUCAGCAGCCGGAGUCUGAGAGCGAGAGAGAGAGAGAGAGAGAGAGAGAGAGUACAGAAGGUCAUGCUGGUUCUGCAUCAGCAGCCGGAGUCUGAGAGAGAGAGAGAGAGAGAGAGAGUACAGUAGGUCAUGCUGUUUCUCCAUCAGCAGCCGGAGUCUGAGAGCGAGAGAGAGAGAGAGAGAGAGAGAGAGAGUACAGAAGGUCAUGCUGGUUCUGCAUCAGCAGCCGGAGUCUGAGAGAGAGAGAGAGAGAGAGAGAGAGAGAGAGAGAG
Molecule: long non-coding RNA, 1268 nt
Organism: Astyanax mexicanus (Mexican tetra)
Lineage: Eukaryota; Metazoa; Chordata; Actinopteri; Characiformes; Acestrorhamphidae
Exons: 3
Source: RefSeq, a predicted model, not a curated record